AGCGAACGCUUGGUCGGAAUGCUUAACACAUGCAAGUCGUACGGGCAGCUUCGGCUGUCAGUGGCGGACGGGUGAGUAACGCGUAGGAACGUGUCCUGGGAUGGGGGAUAACGCUGGGAAACUGGCGCUAAUACCGCAUAUCUGCUGAGGCAGAAAGCCUUCGGGCGUCUUGGGAGCGGACCUGCGUCCGAUUAGCUAGUUGGUGGGGUAAAGGCCUACCAAGGCUUCGAUCGGUAGCUGGUCUGAGAGGAUGAUCAGCCACACUGGGACUGAGACACGGCCCAGACUCCUACGGGAGGCAGCAGUGGGGAAUAUGGACAAUGGGCGAAAGCCUGAUCCAGCAAUUCCGCGUGGUGAAGAA
RNAcentral lists this ribosomal RNA (361 nucleotides) under uncultured Acetobacteraceae bacterium. Its description in RNAcentral is "bacterial SSU rRNA". It matches the Rfam family "Bacterial small subunit ribosomal RNA", at positions 29 to 412 of the family's 1533-position model. Lineage: Bacteria; Pseudomonadati; Pseudomonadota; Alphaproteobacteria; Acetobacterales; Acetobacteraceae. The record is from RNAcentral.